Molecule: ribosomal RNA, 370 nt
Filed under: uncultured eukaryote
Lineage: Eukaryota
Description: partial 18S ribosomal RNA
Rfam family: Eukaryotic small subunit ribosomal RNA
Source: RNAcentral
CAAUAGCGUAUAUUAAAGUUGUUGCAGUUAAAAAGCUCGUAGUUGGACCUUGGACCUGGACAGGCGGUCCGCCUCACGGCGAGUACUGUCUUGCUGGGUCUUUCCUCUUGGUGAUCUGUUGUUUCGGCAGCAGGGAACCAGGACCUUUACUUUGAAAAAAUUAGAGUGUUCAAAGCAGGCUCGACGCCGGAAUAUAUUAGCAUGGAAUAACAAAAUAGGACGUGCGGUUCUAUUUUGUUGGUUUUUGGAAUCGCCGUAAUGAUUAAUAGGGACAGUCGGGGGCAUUAGUACUCACAUGCUAGAGGUGAAAUUCUUGGAUUUUGUGAAGACUAACUUCUGCGAAAGCAUUUGCCAAGGAUGUUUUCAUUAA